GCCUGGGUGGCUCAGUCAGUUAAGCGUCUGACUUCAGCUCAGGUCAGGAUCUUGUGGUUUGUGGGUUCAAGCCCCGCAUCGGGCU
RNAcentral lists this transfer RNA (85 nucleotides) under Felis catus (domestic cat). It matches the Rfam family "tRNA". From Rfam's summary of the family: Transfer RNA (tRNA) molecules are approximately 80 nucleotides in length. Their secondary structure includes four short double-helical elements and three loops (D, anti-codon, and T loops). RNAcentral also lists the same sequence under 4 other names. Lineage: Eukaryota; Metazoa; Chordata; Mammalia; Carnivora; Felidae. The record is from Rfam by way of RNAcentral.